This is an RNA transcript of Benincasa hispida (wax gourd), 2131 nucleotides long. It is a transcript of the gene named Major facilitator superfamily protein, with no coding region annotated. The record is from RefSeq and is a predicted model, not a curated record. Lineage: Eukaryota; Viridiplantae; Streptophyta; Magnoliopsida; Cucurbitales; Cucurbitaceae.
AUGGCCACAGCCACAAGAUUCUCAACACAACAAUAGAUAAAACAUCCAAUGAAAUGCAGCAGUGUGACAAUGUCCACGUUCAUCUUUCUUUCUCUGCGAUCGCUCUGCCAUGGCCAUGGCCUUCUGUUUGCCAAUUCGACCUCUCUUCACUCAUAAGCCCUCUCUUUCAUACACGCAUAAAACCCAUUUGAAGGCUUCCCGAGUUCUCUUCUCCUCUACUCGCACUACCCCAUUGCUGGUUUCAUCAUUCACUGCCAAUUUACAGGCCUUAUUCCAUAACCCAACUUCUUCUUCCUCUGUUUCCAAGCUCAGGCUCAUUCCCAAGGUUGGUGGUGAUCGGGCUGAUUAUUCAUCUGGGGAGGAACAAACCAAGUCGGUUGAUUCUGAAGCAGCCAAUGAAGAAGAGUUUUCUUGGUCUUCUGUCAUUUUGCCGUUCUUGUUCCCUGCCUUGGGAGGUUUGUUGUUUGGAUAUGACAUUGGUGCCACAUCUGGAGCUACCCUCUCAUUGCAGUCACCGGAGCUUAGUGGCACCAGUUGGUUUAACCUUUCUGCCGUUCAACUUGGUCUUGUGGUUAGUGGCUCUUUGUAUGGAGCACUUCUUGGUUCCUUCCUUGUGUACCCAAUUGCAGACUUUCUCGGACGAAGGAGGGAACUAAUUAUAGCAGCUGUACUAUAUGCCCUUGGUAGCCUGACCACUGCUUAUAGCCCUGAUCUGGGCGUUCUUCUGGCGGGAAGGCUUCUCUACGGCCUUGGUAUUGGUCUGGCCAUGCAUGGGGCUCCACUUUAUAUAGCCGAAACGUGUCCGUCCAAGAUUCGAGGAACUUUAGUAUCUUUAAAGGAACUGUUUAUAGUGCUAGGAAUUUUGAUGGGGUAUUUAGUUGGAAGUCUUCAGAUUAAUGCAGUUGGAGGAUGGCGAUACAUGUAUGGACUUAGUGCACCGGUUGCUUCAUUGAUGGGAUUAGGAAUGUGGCUUCUCCCGCCAUCGCCUCGUUGGUUACUUCUUAGGGCCGUUCAAGGUAAAGCGACUUCACAGGAUUCCAAAGAGAGAGCAAUUGUGGCCUUGAGUAAACUUAGAGGACGACCUCCUGGUGAUAAAGUAUCCGAGAAGCAAAUAGAAGCAACAUUUCUCUCCCUGAAAUCUGCCUAUUCAGAGCAGGAAUCUGAAGGGAGUAUUUGGGAGGUCUUUCAAGGCCCGAGUUUGAAAGCCUUCAUAAUUGGUGGAGGUUUGGUUCUCUUUCAGCAGAUAACUGGACAGCCGAGUGUUCUAUAUUAUGCAGGUCCCAUUCUUCAGAAUGCAGGAUUUGCUGCUGCCUCUGACGCUACUAGAGUCUCAGUUGUUAUUGGGGUGUUUAAGUUGCUUAUGACGUGGGUAGCUGUUCUAAAAGUCGAUGAUCUUGGAAGAAGACCCUUGCUCAUUGGAGGUGUUAGUGGAAUUGCGCUUUCCUUGCUUCUUCUUUCGGCUUACUACAAAUUUCUUGGUGGGUUCCCCAUUGUCGCUGUAGCUGCCCUGCUUUUGUAUGUAGGUUGUUAUCAGAUAUCCUUUGGACCAAUCAGUUGGCUUAUGGUGUCUGAAAUAUUUCCACUUCGAACUAGAGGGAAAGGAAUCAGUCUUGCAGUUCUUACUAAUUUUGGUUCAAAUGCUAUUGUCACAUUUGCAUUUUCACCUCUGAAGGAAUUGCUUGGAGCAGAAAACCUUUUCCUUCUUUUUGGUGCCAUUGCAUUGCUUUCACUUCUUUUUGUAGCUCUUCAAGUUCCCGAGACCAAAGGUCUAAGUCUAGAAGAAAUAGAAUCCAAAAUCUUGAAGUGAUAUACAUGCAGCGGCCAAAUUCUCCUUCAUGAGAUUUCAGUAAUAAACAUAUGUUUGCAGCGGUUGAAUUGCCCAACAUUUGCAGAAUCACUGCAACAUAUAUCUCACUUGGAGAUGCUGACACGACGGGGAUCUGUCAAAUAUGCAAAUAUAGAGUGGCUAAAAAACAACUGUCUCAAAUUGAAUAGGGUGUAAAAGUAGAAACAGGAAGUUGCAAUAACUCACCUCUAUGAGUGGUGGUAAAGAUUGGCGCGCUCGUUGAAGAUUUUGGAGCUAAAUGUGCAACCAUUGGUUGUGGUGUCGCCUCCGUUGGUAAUGAAGGUU